This 290-nucleotide ribosomal RNA is filed under the name uncultured alpha proteobacterium 30ev. Its description in RNAcentral is "partial 16S ribosomal RNA". It matches the Rfam family "Bacterial small subunit ribosomal RNA", at positions 9 to 327 of the family's 1533-position model. Lineage: Bacteria; Pseudomonadati; Pseudomonadota; Alphaproteobacteria. The record is from RNAcentral.
GAGUUUGAUCCUGGCUCAGAAUGAACGCUGGCGGCAGGCCUAACACAUGCAAGUCGAACGGGUCCUUCGGGACUAGUGGCGGACGGGUGAGUAACGCGUGGGAAUAUGCCCUUUGGUUCGGAAUAGCCUCGGGAAACUGGGAGUAAUACCGGAUAAGCUCUUCGGAGGAAAGAUUUAUCGCCAAAGGAUUAGCCCGCGUUGGAUUAGGUAGUUGGUGGGGUAAUGGCCUACCAAGCCGACGAUCCAUAGCUGGUUUGAGAGGAUGAUCAGCCACACUGGGACUGAGACAC